Molecule: ribosomal RNA, 404 nt
Filed under: uncultured bacterium
Lineage: Bacteria
Description: bacterial SSU rRNA
Rfam family: Bacterial small subunit ribosomal RNA
Source: RNAcentral
GCUAGUAAUUUCAGAGAUGGAUUAGUGCCUUCGGGAACACUGAGACAGGUGCUGCAUGGCUGUCGUCAGCUCGUGUUGUGAGAUGUUGGGUUAAGUCCCGCAACGAGCGCAACCCUUAUCCUUAGUUGCCAGCACGUAAUGGUGGGAACUCUGGGGAGACUGCCGGUGAUAAACCGGAGGAAGGUGGGGACGACGUCAAGUCAUCAUGGCCCUUACGGGAUGGGCUACACACGUGCUACAAUGGCGCAUACAAAGGGCAGCAAGCCAGCGAUGGCAAGCGAAUCUCAUAAAGUGCGUCGUAGUCCGGAUUGGAGUCUGCAACUCGACUCCAUGAAGUCGGAAUCGCUAGUAAUCGUGGAUCAGAAUGCCACGGUGAAUACGUUCCCGGGUCUUGUACACACCAA